GUCUACAAUCCUACCUCAUUGAACACACCUGAUCCCAUCUGAUCUCAGGAGCUAAGCAGGGCCAGGCCUGGUUAAUCCUUGGCUGGGAAACAAAGGCU
This 98-nucleotide ribosomal RNA is filed under the name Meriones unguiculatus (Mongolian gerbil). The record is from RNAcentral. Lineage: Eukaryota; Metazoa; Chordata; Mammalia; Rodentia; Muridae.